Molecule: RNA transcript, 1758 nt
Organism: Bombus pyrosoma
Lineage: Eukaryota; Metazoa; Arthropoda; Insecta; Hymenoptera; Apidae
Exons: 3
Source: RefSeq, a predicted model, not a curated record
UAAAAUACAUAUAUCUAUAUAUAAUUUGCAUGAUACUAAAAUAAGUAUUUCAUCAGAAUUGAUGAAAGCAGACCAAAGUAGUGUGUGCAUUCUAUUUAGUCAAACCAUACUUUUAAAAUAUUAAGAUAUCAAAAUAAUAAAAAAAGUCAAAGAAUACUAAUAAUAACUAAAUAAAAGCAGAUUCAUAAGUACUUAGAUAAGACAAAUUUUGUUUAGUAUAAAUAAAAUUAGGAAAUUAUAAAUAUAUAAUAUUAAAUAUAUAAUAUUUUCUUUAGUAACAAUUAAAAUAGAUUUUAUAAUUAAGAGAAAUAUGUGAGUGAAGUUACAUACAGUGUUCAUUAAGUACAUUUGUAAUAAAAGACUGUACUCAGUUUACUGUCAAUCAGUUUGAAAGUGACCAUGGCAGUGACUGGACUAAGAACAAUUACUUGUUUCAUUUUUUAUUUUAUAGUAGUGAUAAAUACCCGUAAGUGUUAUACGCAAUCACAAUAUACGGAUGAUUCCGAUUACAAAGAUUUAGAAUUUUACGAAAAUAUGCCAGCCAAUUACAUUGGAAACUUUGACAAAGAUCAUCUGGAUAUGGUUCAGGAUGACUUUUACAUUUUGAGCAAUUUCGAGGACGCAAAUAUACAAAAUAACGUUUACCCCCACAAAAAUGAUCUUCAGAUUCCGUUUGAAAAUAGUGACGAUUCUCUCAAGAAAAGAUCAUCAGUCGCACAAUUGGAGUGGUAUAAACCUGAGAAAGUGUAUCGAUACACGAAACAUCGAAUUCCUGGAUAUGACUAUGAAGAACUCGAUUAUAUGAUCACUAAAAAUUUUCAACAAUGUGAUGAAAGAUCCGUUUGGACCCAUUGCCUUUGUCAAUUUACUUGUACCGAACCAGAUAUGGUAGAUUGUUACACGCCAUGUAAAAGUGGAUGCGAAUGUAAGGAAGAAUACGUAUUUGACGAAAGAACGCAACAAUGUCUAUUACCAGAACAGUGUCUUCCAAAGGAAGACAAUUUUUAUAUCACAUAAUUUGUGUUAAAAUACAGAAAAAGUGCAAUGCUUUGCUGUACCUUCAAUACACUUUAUGUGACACGAUGGAAUACUGAAUAUAUACUAAUUUGAAUAAAGUGAUGGAAAGCAUAUUGCAAUCAGAAGCAGAAAAACAAAACAAACACAUUUCCCAUUAAUUAUCAACUAUCUCCCAAUACUACGAAAUGUUUCUUGAAGAACUGUAAUAUUAUCUUUUAACGAUUUUAUGAAAAUAUUACACUUCUUCCAAUAGGGACGAAAUAUCUAAAAUAUAGAUAUGUUUAGAAAUUACAUUUCGUUUCGUAUACGUUAAUAUGCAAGAAGCAUUCAAAAUUACCUGCCAUGACGACUGAUGUCCCAACACCAAUCAAUUUACGGAGGCAUCAUAAAUUCCACCAAAUCACGGAUACCGAAACAGAGUCAAAAACAAUAUGACAUUAGAGGUAUUAUUAAUGUUAGUAAGGAAUAGAACCAAACAGUUUAAGUAGGACAUAGUAUUAUAUUAUGCUUAGCGCAAGAUUAUCAGACUACAUAAAAUUCUCAGGAUUUAAAUUUAAUUUAAAAAGAAAUUGAAUACGAUUUUAACAUCAAAUAAAUAACAAUUGAUAAUAUAUAUAUUUAUAUAUAUCUUAAAUGUAUUAAUAAAAUGAAUUCCAAAUAAAAUAUUAUAUAUACAUAUUUUUCCUCCUUUUGAUAAUUCUUGAACAAAAUCCAUUGAAGUAUCAUGCACUGAAAGCACCA